UAGGGAAUCUUCGGCAAUGGACGAAAGUCUGACCGAGCAACGCCGCGUGAGUGAGGAAGGUCUUCGGAUCGUAAAGCUCUGUUGCCAGGGAAGAACGGCCGGUGGAGUCACUGCCAUCGGAGUGACGGUACCUGAGAAGAAAGCCCCGGCUAACUACGUGCCAGCAGCCGCGGUAAUACGUAGGGGGCAAGCGUUGUCCGGAAUUAUUGGGCGUAAAGCGCGCGCAGGCGGCCUUUUAAGUCUGGUGUUUAAACCUGAGGCUCAACCUCGGGUCGCAUUGGAAACUGGGAGGCUUGAGUGCAGAAGAGGAGAGUGGAAUUCCACGUGUAGCGGUGAAAUGCGUAGAGAUGUGGAGGAACACCAGUGGCGAAGGCGACUCUCUGGGCUGUAACUGACGCUGAGGCGCGAAAGCGUGGGGAGCAAACA
RNAcentral lists this ribosomal RNA (426 nucleotides) under uncultured Paenibacillus sp. RNAcentral describes it as "bacterial SSU rRNA". It matches the Rfam family "Bacterial small subunit ribosomal RNA", at positions 355 to 774 of the family's 1533-position model. The record is from RNAcentral. Lineage: Bacteria; Bacillati; Bacillota; Bacilli; Caryophanales; Paenibacillaceae.